UUAAGGAAAGCCUGAGAUUAGCUUUGUGAACUGUGUAAUCCUCAGUGGAGUAUACUGCUAAUGGAAAAGUCAUGGAACCGUGGGAGCAGUCGGAUUGGAAGUUGGGAGCGGGUGACCUCAACGGCAAAGAAGGCAUGUGAGACUGCAUUGUUCUUCUGAUCAAAGUGGACACGUCCCUGAAGAGAACAAUUUCCCGUGAAUCAAUUAAGCCAUAAGCAAGCUCUUAUUGAACAACAGAAAGAACUGUAUUAAGGUAAGUUUAACACAAUUCAAUUUAAAAAGUAGUUUGUUACCUAAUGUGUCAAUGUC
This 309-nucleotide long non-coding RNA is filed under the name Dromaius novaehollandiae (emu). RNAcentral describes it as "lncRNA (ENSDNVG00000012889.1)". Lineage: Eukaryota; Metazoa; Chordata; Aves; Casuariiformes; Dromaiidae. The record is from RNAcentral.